CACCACCGGCGGACGGCUCAGUAACACGUCGGUAACCUACCCUCGGGAGGGGGAUAACCCCGGGAAACUGGGGCUAAUCCCCCAUAGGCCUGAGGUACUGGAAGGUCCUCAGGCCGAAAGGGGCUUUUGCCCGCCCGAGGAUGGGCCGGCGGCCGAUUAGGUAGUUGGUGGGGUAACGGCCCACCAAGCCGAAGAUCGGUACGGGCUGUGAGAGCAGGAGCCCGGAGAUGGACACUGAGACACGGGUCCAGGCCCUACGGGGCGCAGCAGGCGCGAAACCUCCGCAAUGCGGGAAACCGCGACGGGGGGACCCCGAGUGCCGUGGCACCGCCACGGCUUUUCCGGAGUGUAAAAAGCUCCGGGAAUAAGGGCUGGGCAAGGCCGGUGGCAGCCGCCGCGGUAAUACCGGCGGCCCGAGUGGUGGCCGCUAUUAUUGGGCCUAAAGCGUCCGUAGCCGGGCCCGUAAGUCCCUGGCGAAAUCCCACGGCUCAACCGUGGGGCUUGCUGGGGAUACUGCGGGCCUUGGGACCGGGAGAGGCGGGGGGUACCCCUGGGGUAGGGGUGAAAUCCUAUAAUCCCAGGGGGACCGCCAGUGGCGAAAGCGCCCCGCUGGAACGGGUCCGACGGUGAGGGACGAACGCCAGGGGAGCAAACCGGAUUAGAUACCCGGGUAGUCCUGGCUGUAAAGGAUGCGGGCUAGGUGUCGGGUGAGCUUCGAGCUCGCCCGGUGCCGUAGGGAAGCCGUUAAGCCCGCCGCCUGGGGAGUACGCCGCAAGGCUGAAACUUAAGGAAUUGGCGGGA
RNAcentral lists this ribosomal RNA (801 nucleotides) under uncultured archaeon. RNAcentral describes it as "bacterial SSU rRNA". It matches the Rfam family "Archaeal small subunit ribosomal RNA", at positions 73 to 873 of the family's 1478-position model. The record is from RNAcentral.